AACAGGUUUCAACCUAAUACGUUGGAGCACUGACGGUACCGGUUGAGGAAGCCACGGCUAACUCUGUGCCAGCAGCCGCGGUAAUACAGAGGUGGCAAGCGUUGUUCGGAAUUACUGGGCGUAAAGGGCGCGUAGGCGGCCUUCUGAGUCAGACGUGAAAUCCCCAGGCUUAACUUGGGAACUGCGUCUGAUACUGGGAGGCUUGAGUGCGGGAGAGGGAUGUGGAAUUCCAGGUGUAGCGGUGAAAUGCGUAGAUAUCUGGAGGAACACCGGUGGCGAAGGCGGCAUCCUGGACCGACACUGACGCUGAGGCGCGAAAGCCAGGGGAGCAAACGGGAUUAGAUACCCCGGUAGUCCUGGCCCUAAACGAUGAGUGCUUGGUGUGGCGGGUAUCGAUCCCUGCCGUGCCGAAGCUAACGCAUUAAGCACUCCGCCUGGGGAGUACGGUCGCAAGGCUG
RNAcentral lists this ribosomal RNA (458 nucleotides) under uncultured Acidobacteriota bacterium. Its description in RNAcentral is "bacterial SSU rRNA". It matches the Rfam family "Bacterial small subunit ribosomal RNA", at positions 448 to 896 of the family's 1533-position model. Lineage: Bacteria; Pseudomonadati; Acidobacteriota. The record is from RNAcentral.